Molecule: transfer RNA, 61 nt
Filed under: Marmota monax (woodchuck)
Lineage: Eukaryota; Metazoa; Chordata; Mammalia; Rodentia; Sciuridae
Description: tRNA.Undet
Source: RNAcentral
GGGGUUGUGGCUCAGUGGUAGAGUGCUUGCCUAGCAUGUGUGGGUUCGAUUCUCAGCACCA